RNAcentral lists this ribosomal RNA (644 nucleotides) under uncultured Actinomycetes bacterium. Its description in RNAcentral is "bacterial SSU rRNA". It matches the Rfam family "Bacterial small subunit ribosomal RNA", at positions 50 to 707 of the family's 1533-position model. The record is from RNAcentral. Lineage: Bacteria; Bacillati; Actinomycetota; Actinomycetes.
AACACAUGCAAGUCGAACGGAAAGGCCCUGCUUGCAGGGUACUCGAGUGGCGAACGGGUGAGUAACACGUGGGUGAUCUGCCCUGCACUUCGGGAUAAGCCUGGGAAACUGGGUCUAAUACCGGAUAGGAGCCAUUUUUAGUGUGAUGGUUGGAAAGUUUUUUCGGUGUAGGAUGAGCUCGCGGCCUAUCAGCUUGUUGGUGGGGUAAUGGCCUACCAAGGCGGCGACGGGUAGCCGGCCUGAGAGGGUGGACGGCCACAUUGGGACUGAGAUACGGCCCAGACUCCUACGGGAGGCAGCAGUGGGGAAUAUUGCACAAUGGGCGCAAGCCUGAUGCAGCGACGCCGCGUGGGGGAUGACGGCCUUCGGGUUGUAAACUCCUUUCGCUAGGGACGAAGCUUUUUGUGACGGUACCUAGAUAAGAAGCACCGGCUAACUACGUGCCAGCAGCCGCGGUAAUACGUAGGGUGCGAGCGUUGUCCGGAACUACUGGGCGUAAAGGGCUCGUAGGUGGUUUGUCGCGUCGUCUGUGAAAUUCCGGGGCUUAACUCCGGGCGUGCAGGCGAUACGGGCAUAACUUGAGUACUGUAGGGGUAACUGGAAUUCCUGGUGUAGCGGUGAAAUGCGCAGAUAUCAGGAGGAAC